GACGAACGCUGGCGGCGUGCUUAACACAUGCAAGUCGAACGGUGAAGGGACCGGUUUUUGCUGGUUCUGGAUGAGUGGCGAACGGGUGAGUAACACGUGAGUAACCUGCCCCCUUCUUCUGGAUAACCGCAUGAAAGUGUGGCUAAUACGGGAUAUUCUGCGCCUGCUGCAUGGUGGGUGUGGGAAAGAUAUUGUUUCGGUGGGGGAUGGGCUAGCGGCCUAUCAGCUUGUUGGUGGGGUGAUGGCCUACCAAGGCGGUGACGGGUAGCCGGCCUGAGAGGGUGGCCGGUCACACUGGGACUGAGACACGGCCAGGACCACUACGGGAGGCAGCAGUAGAGAAUAUUGCAGAAUGGGCGAAAGCCUGAUGCAGCGACGCCGCGUGAGGGAUGGAGGCCUUCGGGUUGUAAACCUCUUUCGCCAGUGAAGCAGGCCUGUCCCUUUUGUGGGUGGGUUGACGGUAGCUGGAUAAGAAGCGCCGGCUAACUACGUG
Molecule: ribosomal RNA, 493 nt
Filed under: uncultured bacterium
Lineage: Bacteria
Description: partial 16S ribosomal RNA
Rfam family: Bacterial small subunit ribosomal RNA
Source: RNAcentral